Molecule: long non-coding RNA, 3556 nt
Organism: Lotus japonicus
Lineage: Eukaryota; Viridiplantae; Streptophyta; Magnoliopsida; Fabales; Fabaceae
Exons: 4
Source: RefSeq, a predicted model, not a curated record
UCUCUCUCUCUCUCUCUCUCUCUCAUGCUCUCAGGCACAUUUAUCCCUUCUCUUAAUGUACUUUCAUUUUGUUUCUACCUAAUUACACUAACACAUUUGUUCAAUCAGCUAAAGCCACAACUAUAGGAAUGAUGUCAAUUUUUCGUAUAAAGUCAACUCCUAACGCUCAUUGAAUUUAUACACUCUCUCACUCACCCCAAUAUCAAUUCCUGCAUUUGUUUCUCUUCUAGACGCACUUUACCUUCGGUGAUGCCUUUUAUUCCCUUUUCACAUGUCUCUCUAUUAUCAUCAUCAUUUGGGUCUCUUAUACUUUUCUUCAUCAUAAGAAUGUUUCAAAUCACGUUUUCCCAUGCCGUUUUGCUUGUUUUCUGUAUUCAUGAUGAAAGGGGGCCUCUAUUCUGUUCUGGAAUGAUUCUGAAAUUCCAAGUCAUUACUAAAUCAUGUUCCUUUUUUUCUUUGUUGGUUUUGUUUUUCUUUAAUGUAUGUUUGGAGCCACUUUUUACAAUUUAUUCUAAAAACAAAAUCAAGUUUAAGGUGAAACAUCUCUGUGUAGCUUGUGGGCUUCAAGGUCCGAUGAAAGAGAAGUUGAUUGAAACAUGCUAUUAAAGCUUUUGUUAUCUAUGCAUGUCGUUUAUGUUUUCUGAUGAAAUUUUCAUUAUGUCUCUUUAAUAAGUAUUAGAAGGACUCCUCCUUUACAACAAGUAUUAUACAUGACUUCUUCCAAAACAAUCUUUCUCAUGAUUGCUUUCUUCUACUCUAAAUAUCUUCUUCUAAGAGGGAUAUUAUAUCAAUUAAUCCUAGGAAAUAUGAAGUAUUGUUUGUCAAAUUUGACUCUUAAGCAUAUAUUUAUGUUCAGUUACAUGAUAGAGGUAGAAAGAAUUUGACUCUAAAAAAUAUCUACUCUAUAUGUUGAAGUUGACGAUGAUAUAUGAUCGUUCAUUUAAGUUUAUCAUCAGGAUCUCUCAUGAUGAUCUCUAAGAGCUUUGGGGCUUGAUUUCUUGUGAGCAUGAGAACUUAGUGGGCAUAGCCAACUUUUCAAAGUCUUCAGUUCUUCCCUUUAUACUUCCGAAUCUUCUGUGUGGUAGAUUGUAGUCGUUGGCGUGAUCUGUCAUAAAGGUGUGAUCUGUCAGCUUGUAGGUAGCAUAGGUCUGAGUUUCUAUAUUUUGGUGUAGAGAUAUGGAAAUUUGAUAGUGACACCACAGCACAUUUCUCUUCAUCAUAGCUUUGGUGGCAGAAAAGUAUUUUGAUCUUUAAAACUUCUGCACAAAGCUUUCAUGGCUUCUACUUUCAACGGAAAGUGUAUUGAUGUGGCUUGUGGCUUUCGUUGAAUGUAGGUUUCUUGUUCAGAUGCUACUUAUGCUUCUAUCGUCUUUCCUUUCUUCAGACGAUCUUUCUUCAUCAUUCUUCAAACGAUGAUAUUUCUUAAAUCAUUCUAUUCUCUUUCAGAUGUUCUUCUAUUGGGCUCGUUCUUCAUUCUUCUAACAAUGCAGUCUUCAUAUCAUGAUAGACGUUGGUUCCAACAGAAGUUCUGCUCCUAUCGUUUCUUCUAUAUGUAUAUGAUGGUUCUUGCUCUGGUCAUUUUUCUCUUUGAAGAUUUAUCAGUUUGGCGCAAGCUUCAUUCCUUUCUUUAAUUUUUCAGUUAGAUUGUGAGUGAUGGCUUUGACCAACAUCUUCUUCUUCAGAAAUGGAUUGUCGUGAGUCGCCUGAAAUGGAUAGAUGCUUGUAGACGUAGACAAUAAGCUUUGCUCCAUUUCUUCACUCCUUUUGUGAGAGAGAGAGAGAGAGAGAGAGAGAUAAAAAAAACUUUUGAUGUUGACAUGUUGUACUAGUUUCCUUGGUCAAAGUGCUUUGUAGAGUAUCACAUGAUUUCCUAGCAUUUGACUUUGUCCUCAACAAUGUCAUAGAUAUUUCCAUUUGUAUAUGGCGCUCUUUUCUCUAGACAAUGCUUUCUUUGAUCAGCCUUCAGAUAGACGAUGUAGAAGACGUUGAGUACAAUUUUCUCAAACAGUCCAAUAGCUUGACUUGAUCAGUUGCGUGUAUAGUCCUGAAGCUUUGCAUGUGUAGUUCGAAAGCUUUGACUAUCUGCUCAAGUGGAUGCGCUUGAAUCAUGUGUUAUUUCCUUCUGAAGAUGAUCUAGUUGAUUUGACCCUUCUUGUAAGUUGAUCCCUUCUUCUUCUUUCUCUAGAUAGGCGAUCUGGCAGAUGUUGUUUUUCCUUGCUGGCUCAUGCUGUCUUGAUACUUUUGAUUCUUCUUCUUAUUCUUCCUGGUUGAUCCAUUCAGCAUAAUCAACAUUUCAUUUGUUGUCAAUCAUGUCUUGCAGCUUUGAUCAAUAUCUUCUUUGUUGAUGAUCAGACGAUGUCACAUGUUUGACUUUCUUUUACUGUGUCGUCUGCCAUUGUAGCUUUACUCUUGCUUGUUCUUGACUGGGUUAACUUCUUGUAUUGCCUUGUAUGCUUUAGCCAGUCUUCUUCGUUGGAGAUGUCGUCUUCUUAUGGAUCAUAUGUUCCCCUUCGGUGGUCAUUGAGAAUGGAAAUCAUGUUUGGUGCUGCUAAGGGCCUUGCAUAUCUCCAUGAGGAAGCUGAGAAGCCUUUGAUAUAUAGAGACUUUAAAACUUCCAACAUUCUAUUGGACAACGACUACAAUGCCAAGCUUUCUGAUUUUGGGCUUGCACGAGAUGGUCCCGUUGGAGACUCUACUCAUGUCUCAACUUGUGUAUUGGGAACACAAGGGUAUGCAGCCCCAGAGUAUAUCAUGACAUGUUUGUAUAGUGGAUCAACAUUUUAAUAUGAUCUUCCGGGCACCUUACUGCCAAUAGUGAUGUGUACAGUUUUGACGUGGUUCUGCUUGAGAUGCUGAUCGGGAGAAAAUCCAUGGACAAAAAAAGGGGUCCAGAUGCGGAUAACAUGGUAGAGUGGGUGCGGCCUAAACUCAGAAAAGGGGGAUCAGUGUUCCAUGAACUGAUGGAUCCUCAGCUUGGAGGUCAGUAUUCAGGAAGAGCUGCUAAUAAGGUGAUGAAUUUGGCUUUGAAUUACGUUAGCUGGGACGGGAAAGACAGACCCGUACGUGAUGAGUGAAGUUGUGAAAGUCCUUAGCUCUCUUCCUCAUUACAAAGAGAAGAUGGCUUCUUCCUCUUCACCUUCCCCACCCCCACCCUUGAAUGUUAGCUCCUCUGACGAUGGUGAUUUCAUAAAAGGCUCUUCAGCAAGAGGCACACUGAAUCGCUUCAAAGCUUCCCCGUGCAACCUUCCUCUUCCUUCACCCAAAGCUAGUGGUGGAAGGCCAUGAAUGAUGAGAUUCAUCUGAAUCUUAUAUUGUUUAAGCUCUCUUUUAUUUCCUAGUAAUGACCUGGACUAUACCAAACGAGCACUAUGUAUAGAAACUAUGUAUGCACAGGAAAAGGAAAGGAAUAAUGUUUAAGUUUAGUUUUAAAGACAAAACUUAAAUUAUCUUCCUUUUCGUUUAGUAUUGUUCUGCUCUUGUAAUUCUAGUUGUUUUCAAAACUGGAUGCUAAGUUUUAUAACUAGUUCCGAUAAAUUCAAAUUUAUUUUCUCUUUCA